RNAcentral lists this ribosomal RNA (484 nucleotides) under uncultured bacterium. RNAcentral's name for it is "partial 16S ribosomal RNA". It matches the Rfam family "Bacterial small subunit ribosomal RNA", at positions 30 to 507 of the family's 1533-position model. The record is from RNAcentral.
AUUGAACGCUGGCGGCAGGCCUAACACAUGCAAGUCGAGCGGAUGAAGGGAGCUUGCUCCUGGAUUCAGCGUCGGACGGGUGAGUAAUGCCUAGGAAUCUGCCUGGUAGUGGGGGAUAACGUCCGGAAACGGGCGCUAAUACCGCAUACGUCCUGAUGGAGAAAGUGGGGGAUCUUCGGACCUCACGCUAUCAGAUGAGCCUAGGUCGGAUUAGCUAGUUGGUGGGGUAAAGGCCUACCAAGGCGACGAUCCGUAACUGGUCUGAGAGGAUGAUCAGUCACACUGGAACUGAGCCACGGUCCAGACUCCUACGGGAGGCAGCAGUGGGGAAUAUUGGACAGUGGGCGAAAGCAUGACACAGUCAUGCCGAGUGUGUGAAGAAGGUCUUCGGAUUGUAAAGACCUUUAAGUUGGGAGGAAGGGCAGUAAGUUAAUACCUUGCUGUUUUGACGUUAACAACAGAAUAAGCACCGGCUAACUUCGUG